Molecule: long non-coding RNA, 790 nt
Filed under: Pan troglodytes (chimpanzee)
Lineage: Eukaryota; Metazoa; Chordata; Mammalia; Primates; Hominidae
Description: long non-coding RNA NONPTRT004303
Source: RNAcentral
CUAUUUAUGAGAUUGAUGUCCUGGAUACUUAACAUUAAAAAGUAUAUUUAUCCAAAGCAAAAUAAAAUAAGUCCCUUUCACCAUUAAUAUUUAUUGUGUAGCUUAAAUGCAGCAGGAUUCUUCCAAAUAUGAAGGCAAAAAAACCUCUUCUGAUAUUGUUUUUUUUUUUCUUUUUUUAUUUCUCCAUAUUUUGGAUGCUCUCAAAGCAGCCUCAUGAAACUAUUUUGCCAGAAGCUCUGUAAGGUGACCCCACUUGUAGAAAUGCCAGAAGUAAGUUAAAAGGUAGGUUUUGCUCUUUACCUAGAAGGAGACAAUAAAUCUUUCUGUACCCUAACAAAAUAGUCCAAGAAUUUUGUCUCACUACCCUGGGCAAUUCCAGAAUGAGUUUCCAGAAGAAUUGUUCUACAAUAUGUCAGAAAUACUGUAUUGUUAUUAAUACUGAUUCAAAAUACACUAAAUAGACUACUGUGAGAAUCAGAGAUCUUCACAUUCUAUUAAUUACUUCCUUAUAAUGACUUUUAUUGAUAUGGUUUUGACUUGCUAUAUUUGAGGUAUGAGGCAAAAAGAUUUGAAUAUAUGAAAUAUAUUAACAGUUAUAUUUGUCUUACCAACUCUCUGAAGUAGGUUAUUUUUAUCACCCUCCUCCUCUUUUAUAUUUAAGAAAAAUAAAACCUAGAUACACUUGUGGACCAAAUAAAUGUGGAGUUAGAUAUAAAGAAGGAAUCUGUAAUGGUAGCCUUAGAUUUGAAAUAGAAAUAAUUUUUUAGGGACAUCAAAUUUUAGAACUUGU